UCGCUAAGAGAAGAAACAUUUUACUAUUGGUGAAGAAUUUAUACCCCUAUAUUGGACCGGCUCGUUGCAGAGACACAAGCUCAGGGCUCUCACUAAUACAGCAUAAUGUAAAAGCUGGCAAUCAUCGAACCUAUCGUGGAGCUGCUGAAGGUGCAUUUUUAAAUACACUGGAAGUCUGUGUGAGUGAUGGGACGGAGCGAUGGUGAACAAAUAUUGGAAAAAGGGUGAUGAACAUCUCUGACAUUCAAGUUCUGAGCUUUUUCUAUUGCCAUGUGCUAGCAGGGCUCAGCAGAGAUGUUAUAGCUGCGCUGCACACUGCGGACAGUCAUGGAGCCCCGGAGCAAACCAGCGG
Cottoperca gobio is the source of this 352-nucleotide long non-coding RNA. RefSeq lists it as uncharacterized. The transcript is spliced from 3 exons. Lineage: Eukaryota; Metazoa; Chordata; Actinopteri; Perciformes; Bovichtidae. The record is from RefSeq and is a predicted model, not a curated record.